CCGUUUUCAAACAAAGAUCAAUAUUGGCUUUUCCAAGCCCUAUGCUAAGGAUGGCUUUUCCAAGCCCUACAACUAAGGGUGUUACACUCUCAAAGAGAGAGAAAAUAUGUCUUUCAAUUCUUCAUCAUUCAAAAUCUCCCAAGAAAUGAGCUAAAAUGACCUAUUUAUAGUGUAAUACAAAAGAAGACAAAAAGACCACUUUGCCCUUAAUGAUAGGUGUGGCUAUGGUGUGUAAAU
RNAcentral lists this long non-coding RNA (237 nucleotides) under Capsicum annuum. RNAcentral's name for it is "long non-coding RNA (CANN_LNC021268)". The record is from RNAcentral. Lineage: Eukaryota; Viridiplantae; Streptophyta; Magnoliopsida; Solanales; Solanaceae.